RNAcentral lists this unclassified non-coding RNA (205 nucleotides) under Glomus sp. RNAcentral's name for it is "partial contains 5.8S ribosomal RNA and internal transcribed spacer 2". The stretch from base 1 to 71 matches the Rfam family "5.8S ribosomal RNA", at positions 84 to 154 of the family's 154-position model. Lineage: Eukaryota; Fungi; Glomeromycota; Glomeromycetes; Glomerales; Glomeraceae. The record is from RNAcentral.
GUGAAUCAUCAAAUUUUUGAACGCAAAUUGCACUCUCUGGUAUUCCGGAGGGGAUGCCUGUUUGAGGGUCAUGUUAAAUAAAUAUCGGUGUGUGUGCUGCUCUUCGUGGUUAGGCAUUGGAUCUGGUUCGUCCUGUCGUGGUUUAAGUGACCCUAAAAUUUUCAUGACGAUUUUUGCGCGUAUUUAAAUGAUUUUAUGUACGUUG